RNAcentral lists this long non-coding RNA (821 nucleotides) under Heterocephalus glaber (naked mole-rat). RNAcentral's name for it is "lncRNA (ENSHGLG00000047226.1)". The record is from RNAcentral. Lineage: Eukaryota; Metazoa; Chordata; Mammalia; Rodentia; Bathyergidae.
GGCGGAAGUCGGCGGCACUCGGGCGGGCCUGGGUCCCCGCGCCCGGCCCGGUCCGUCCGGCGGCCGCCGCCAUGUGGUGUCUGCACUGCCACUCCGAGAGGACGCAGUCGCUGCUGGAGCUGGAGCUGGACAGCGGUCACGCAGCACAUUUACUGAGCACCUGCUGUGCCAGGCCCUGGGCCAGUAGAGGGACCAAGUUUAAUUUGAGCUGGAGGCCCCCAUGCGGAACCACGGAAGAGUCGCCUCCCUGUGUGUAAAGAUGGGAAACUAUGACAGCUUUUGCUUUUUCCUCUUUGUUCAAAGGUCAGUGCAAUAAUAAUGACAGCGGUGGCCACCAUGCAGCCACGUCUGUGUGAGUCUUAAUUCUCAGUGUGAUUUGUGAGUAAGGUCUUCUGUUACCCCGUGUUUCAGAUGGGGAACGUUCCCCUUGGUCACUGCUCCCAAGGGCUGGAGCUGGGAUCUGCCUGGCUUCAGGGUCUGCGUCCUUCACAGUCAGGCUCUGCUUCCCAUGGGGGUAAAAGUCAUCUUCGGUAAAAUAUAUCACCAUCAUAGGGUCUGAUGUCCCCUGGUGUCCAGAUCCUAAAGUGUUCCCACAUGUGCCAGCCUGUGCCCUGGUGGUUGGCCCCACACCGGGCCCUCCUGGACCCACACACUCACCUUCGUCCCACGUGCAGUCCUUGCCCAGACUGUCGCACGGAGCCUUGGGGACAAAAGCGGACUGUCCCUGACUUGCUGAUGGGCAUCAGCAUGGUUAGGAAGCCCAAGGCCAGGUCUUUUGAUGUUACUGGAGGACCCGUCUGUGAGGGCCCUGAACUUAAUCC